AUGAUAUAUUUAAGAUGCUACUUUAAGUAUUAUUAUGUAUUAUUAUUAAGUAUUUUUCUAGUUUUAUGUUUGAAUAUUUAUUUAGUAUUCUUUUUUUUAAAAGAAGAAACAAGUAUAGGAAAAUCAACUCUAUUAAAUUAUAAUGCAUCAUAUUUUGCAACUCAGAAUAUUUUAAAUUCAUUAAGCAAACUCGACAAAGAUUAUGAUUUGCCAAUACCAACUGAAGAAUCUAGUAUUUUAAAAGAACUUGAAGUACUCUUAAGUAAUUUAAAAUUAAAAUUUAAUGGUGAUAUUGAUUUGUUUAAUGCUACUAUAAAUAUAAUGAAUAAAGAUGGACUUAUGCCUCUUUAUGGUACACCAUAUCUUGGAUCAACUAUAAAUUUAUUAAAAACAUCAGAAAUAAUCAAGACUUAUAAUGCUCUUAAAGGAACUCAAUUAAAAUUACUACUUAUGUUUAAAAAUAACCAGGAAGUGUUAUUUAAACCUAAAUGGUAUUCAGAGUCAAAAAUAAUAUAUGGAGAUGUAUACGCUGGCAAAGAUCGCUAUAAUGGUGAAAUAAUGGCAUUUUACAUUUCACUUAUUCUUGGAUUUCCACGUGUACCCAUUGUUGUGAAACGAAUUUUAGAUUCUACAGAAAUACACAAAACAGCAAAUAUUGGAUUAAAGAAAACAAUGUAUAUUAAUUCAACAACCAAAGAAAUGUGUCUAUAUGGAAAAUGUUUUUAUUGUAAACGUGAAGAUCCAGUAUGCACAAAAAGUGAACGACUUGAAGGUGCAGCUAUUUUUCAUCUUCCUCCAUAUAUGAAGCUUAAACAACGUUUACAUCCUUGGAGAAGAACUUACAAUGAAAAUAAGACAGCAAGAUGGGAAACUGAUAAUAAUUUUUGUACUUAUGUUAAAGCUACAUUUGAUUCUGAAAGAAUUUUGGACUUUAUCGAUAUCUGUAUAUUUGAUUUUAUUAUUGGAAAUGGGGAUCGACAUCGAUAUGAAGUUAUAGAACAAUUUAAUAAUACCAUUAUCUUAAUUGAUAAUGGAAAAAGUUUUGGGAACCCUUACAAAGACCAUACUGAUAUAUUGGCUCCGCUUUAUCAGUGUUGCAUAAUUCGCCAGAAGACGUGGGAAAGACUCAAGUCUAUAAAAGGAGGAACAUUCACAAACGUAUUGCAAAAUAUGUUGGUUAUACACGAAACAAUAUCUCUAAUUACUCUACCACAUUACAAUGCACUUGAGCGACGACUAAAAUUAGUAUACGCUACCGUUACUAUGUGUCAAAACCAAUCAAAUGAAUCGAUAUUCAAAUGACCAUUGACAAGUAUUCAUUUUAAUGUUAAAUUUAAUAUUUUGUCGAAGUGUAUUGUUUAAAUUCUAAGUUUGUUACUAUUGUUUUUUGAGGACAAUCGCAGUCAUCGCGAAAAUGAAACCUAAAAUGUUAGCUCAUUGUCCAAUGCGGAUCCUUACUAAGUCGAUGCUACUACGAAUACUAUGAUCGCGAUUAGUGGCAAAGUUUCCUAUGAGACAAAGAAACAUUGUCUACACAGUUUUUAAUUGUAAGUAUAUAUCGCACAUCCAGAAGAAGAACGACACAACUCAAAUAUAACAAUUAUACAGCACUGGUAAAAAUCAUAAUGACUAAAAAUUAAAAUUAAAGUUUUCAUUCUACACACUUGGUAUUUACACCAAUAUAUUCAGAUUCAUAUACUUUAUCAAAAAUAUAUCCUAAACAUUUAAAAAAGUUUUGGGGUCUAAUAUUAAAAUUAGUUAUGUCUAUUUUACUUUUUAUUUUUUUUAUCAUAACCUUUGACUUGGGUCUAUUUGUAAUAACUAAGGGGACAUGUACUAUUAAUUUAUAUAAUUGUUGCGUUCAAUUUUAUUUAACAUUUCGUAAGCUUAAAAAUAUAUCAAUUUAAGUCAUAAAUCAUAAGUAGAAAUUAAUUAGUUACAGUACUCUUAAAAUAAAACUAUAAUAUCUAAAUAGAGAAAAAAUGUGUCUAUUGCGGCACGCACGGCAGGUACUUUUUUACAAUACAAAAAUCAUAAAAUGUCUUGUUUAAAUACUUUUAAAAUAAUUACGAUAUAGUUAGGGUAUUAAGUUUUGCUUAUACAAUUCUAGCAAAUCAGAUUUUUUCGCUGCAAUUAUUUCAGGUGGAAAGUCGUAAGCUUUUUUAAGUUCCAUACUGUUGAAAUUGCUAUUGCGUGUUUCCCUCCUCACCUAAUAAACAAUAAAAUUAAAAAAAAUAAGUUCUUCGGAUUAUAUUAUAUUAAUAAAUUUAUUUUAAAUUUAAAUUAUAAUCACCUUUACUAUUUAGUAAUCCGUAUUGUUAAAUGAUGUUCUUAGUUUCAAUGUGCAUGGAUUUGAUUUGUCGAUAUGAAUUUCUUUAAUGUCAUUCCACAGAUUUUUUUGCCAUUUACAUCCAUGUUAAAAUUUGUACCAAUAUCUUUGCUUAAAUUUUUGAAAUUUAAAAAGUCUUCAGUAGACAUUUCUUUUACGUUGUAGGUUUUUUUUUUUUUGGUUUGCCAACUUAAUAACUGAUACCCAUUGAGAUGGUACACAUAUUAGCUUUCUGAUUGGUCGUUUGGUUUUGCCACUCUUUUUAAAAACUGUUAUCUAGUAUUAUGUGUUAUUUAAUAUUAUCAAAUU
This 2638-nucleotide unclassified non-coding RNA is filed under the name Sipha flava (yellow sugarcane aphid). RNAcentral's name for it is "glycosaminoglycan xylosylkinase, transcript variant X3". The record is from RNAcentral. Lineage: Eukaryota; Metazoa; Arthropoda; Insecta; Hemiptera; Aphididae.